UUGGGUCCAACCAAAUCAGAUUUGUAUUGAGACCAAAAUAGAAAUACCUAGAGUCCUAACUCAUUGGGAUUCUCUUCCUUGUGCAUGCCCUAGAAUCCAUGCCAAAUAUUACACGCUAAAGGAGUUUGGCGUGAAAUAUUUUUUGCAUGAAAAAAAGGGGCACAGAGAGGGUGGGCGGCAUCUCUUGAUGACUCAUCAUUUUAUCCCUUAACUAAUUUG
This 219-nucleotide long non-coding RNA is filed under the name Elaeis guineensis (African oil palm). RNAcentral describes it as "long non-coding RNA (EGUI_LNC042993)". Lineage: Eukaryota; Viridiplantae; Streptophyta; Magnoliopsida; Arecales; Arecaceae. The record is from RNAcentral.